AAAAAAAAAAUGCGAAAUCCUCGAAACGCGUCCAAAAAACGAAGAAAACGACGGGGUGUUUUUCUCACUUUCUCUGUCUAUCCCUAAUCAAUCGGCGUUUGCAAAUGUUGUUUUACGCGAAUUUCGCGACCGCUCGUCCGCGGUGAGUGUAUGCGAAAAGCGCGUGAAAGUCUUUUUGGCGGAACGGCGCGCCGCGAUCAACGGCGGUGAGUCGGUCGCAUGGUCCGGAAAAUGCGCGUCGCGUGCGUGUCUCGUGGU
This is a non-coding RNA of Cinara cedri, 258 nucleotides long. Lineage: Eukaryota; Metazoa; Arthropoda; Insecta; Hemiptera; Aphididae. The record is from the annotation of a GenBank genome assembly.